CGAGGGUCUAAGAAAGCCUAGAAAUGUGUAUACAAAAAAGGGAAAAGAAUCAAAAAUAGCAUUUCAGUAGAAGAUAAGAAAUUCGAGCAUCUCCUUCUUUCUAACUAGUACUGCUCCAAACUUAAGCAGACAGGUGCUUGUGAUGAGUACUCUGUGGUGACACGUACCACCUGAGAAUGUGGUUGCUGACAGUUGCUAGGGAGAAGCUCAUGGAAACCAACAGAACCAAGGCAAGGAAUGUGGAGCUCUGAGAUGGUGAAGAGAAUGGAUGCAGGCAAAAAGCGAUGGAGGAGAGAUCUACACAUGCAGAUGAGACCAGAACUUCUGAAGUAAUAUUGAGCCACAAUGACUGCAACAGGAAUUCUUAUGUGAGUCCUGAAUUAAAUGGAACAGUAUGCUUCACCAAAGAAAACAUAUUUGCCAGAAGAUACUGUGGACAGCAAACCUCUAUUGUGGAAGAACACUAUUUCUUGAGAUAAAUGCAGUGCUUUGUGCGGAACGUUGGGGUCACUAAACUUACCUAGUUUAUUCCAUCAAAUUAAAAUAUAUCUGCAGAGUAUCCC
This 563-nucleotide long non-coding RNA is filed under the name Equus caballus (horse). RNAcentral's name for it is "lncRNA (ENSECAG00000035450.3)". The record is from RNAcentral. Lineage: Eukaryota; Metazoa; Chordata; Mammalia; Perissodactyla; Equidae.